GGACUUGAGCAAGAUUAGAUGCUACAGGUGCAAUGAGUUAGGACAUCACGUCAGAGAUUGCCCACAAUGAAGAGGUCGGACAAGGGAUACUACAGCAACAGCCAGUAGCGAGUCAGAGGGUGAUGUCCUAGAGAUAUCUGAUGAGAUAUUUAUUUCUUUUCAGUAGUAAAUUUUAGAUUCUACAUGCACCAAUCAUAUAUGUUGCAGAGAAGAGCAGUUUGACUCCCUAG
RNAcentral lists this long non-coding RNA (230 nucleotides) under Elaeis guineensis (African oil palm). Its description in RNAcentral is "long non-coding RNA (EGUI_LNC017378)". Lineage: Eukaryota; Viridiplantae; Streptophyta; Magnoliopsida; Arecales; Arecaceae. The record is from RNAcentral.